This 662-nucleotide ribosomal RNA is filed under the name uncultured bacterium. Its description in RNAcentral is "bacterial SSU rRNA". It matches the Rfam family "Bacterial small subunit ribosomal RNA", at positions 669 to 1407 of the family's 1533-position model. The record is from RNAcentral.
CCAUGUGUAGCGGUGAAAUGCGUAGAUAUAUGGAGGAACACCGGUGGCGAAAGCGGCUCUCUGGUCUGUAACUGGCGCUGAGGCUCGAAAGCGUGGGGAGCGAACAGGAUUAGAUACCCUGGUAGUCCACGCCGUAAACGAUGAGUGCUAGGUGUUGGACAGUGCCGCAGCUAACGCAUUGAGCACUCCGCCUGGGGAGUACGACCGCAGGGUUGAAACUCAAAGGAAUUGACGGGGGCCCGCACAAGCGGUGGAGCAUGUGCUCUCAUUCGAAGUAACGCGAAGAACCUUACCAGGUCUUGACAUCCAGGUGGUGCAUGGUUGUCGUCAGCUCGUGUCGUGAGAUGUUGGGUUAAGUCCCGCAACGAGCGCAACCCCUAUUGUUAGUUGCCACUCUAGCGAGACUGCCGGUAAUAAACCGGAGGAAGGUGGGGAUGACGUCAAAUCAUCAUGCCCCUUAUGACCUGGGCUACACACGUGCUACAAUGGUUGGUACAACGAGUUGCGAGUCGGUGACGGCAAGCUAAUCUCUUAAAGCCAAUCUCAGUUCGGAUUGUAGGCUGCAACUCGCCUACAUGAAGUCGGAAUCGCUAGUAAUCGCGGAUCAGACGCCGCGGUGAAUACGUUCCCGGGCCUUGUACACACCGCCCGUCAAGGGCGAA